Molecule: ribosomal RNA, 855 nt
Filed under: uncultured bacterium
Lineage: Bacteria
Description: SSU rRNA
Rfam family: Bacterial small subunit ribosomal RNA
Source: RNAcentral
UACAUAGGGUGCAAGCGUUGUCCGGAAUUAUUGGGCGUAAAGAGCUCGUAGGUCGUUUGCCGCGUCGAUUGUGAAAAUCUGAGGCUCAACCUCAGACCUGCAGUCGAUACGGGCAAACUAGAGUGUGGUAGGGGAGACUGGAAUUCCUGGUGUAGCGGUGGAAUGCGCAGAUAUCAGGAGGAACACCAAUGGCGAAGGCAGGUCUCUGGGCCAUAACUGACACUGAGGAGCGAAAGCGCGGGGAGCGAACAGGAUUAGAUACCCUGGUAGUCCGCGCCGUAAACGAUGGGCACUAGCUGUGAGAGCCUUCCACGGUUCUCGCGACGCAGCAAACGCAUUAAGUGCCCCGCCUGGGGAGUACGAUCGCAAGAUUAAAACUCAAAGGAAUUGACGGGGCCCCGCACAAGCAGCGGAGCAUGCGGCUUAAUUCGACGCAACGCGAAGAACCUUACCAAGGCUUGACAUAUAGCGAAAAGUGGCAGAGAUGUCAUGUCCGCAAGGGCGCUAUACAGGUGGUGCAUGGUUGUCGUCAGCUCGUGUCGUGAGAUGUUGGGUUAAGUCCCGCAACGAGCGCAACCCUCGUUCUGUGUUACCAGCAUUCAGUUGGGGACUCACAGGAGACUGCCGGGGUCAACUCGGAGGAGGGUGGGGAUGACGUCAAAUCAUCAUGCCCCUUAUGUCUUGGGCUGCACGCAUGCUACAAUGGCCGGUACAAAGUGCUGCGAAAUCGUAAGAUUUAGCGAAUCACAUAAAGCCGGUCUCAGUUCGGAUUGAGGUCUGCAACUCGACCUCAUGAAGUCGGAGUUGCUAGUAAUCGUAGAUCAGCAACGCUACGGUGAAUACGUUCCCGGGGCU